UACGGGGGGGGCAAGCGUUGUUCGGAAUUACUGGGCGUAAAGGGCUCGUAGGCGGCCAACUAAGUCCGACGUAAAAUCCCCAGGCUUAACUUGGGAACUGCGUCGGAUACUGGAUGGCUUGAAUUCGGGAGAGGGAUGCGGAAUUCCAGGUGUAGCGGUGAAAUGCGUAGAUAUCUGGAGGAACACCGGUGGCGAAGGCGGCAUCCUGGACCGACAUUGACGCUGAGUGAGCGAAAGCUAGGGGAGCAAACGGG
Molecule: ribosomal RNA, 254 nt
Filed under: uncultured bacterium
Lineage: Bacteria
Description: partial 16S ribosomal RNA
Rfam family: Bacterial small subunit ribosomal RNA
Source: RNAcentral